This 491-nucleotide ribosomal RNA is filed under the name uncultured bacterium. RNAcentral describes it as "partial 16S ribosomal RNA". It matches the Rfam family "Bacterial small subunit ribosomal RNA", at positions 29 to 507 of the family's 1533-position model. The record is from RNAcentral.
AGUGAACGCUGGCGGUAGGCCUAACACAUGCCAGUCGAACGGCAGCACAGUAAGAGCUUGCUCUUACGGGUGGCGAGUGGCGGACGGGUGAGGAAUACAUCGGAAUCUACUUUUUCGUGGGGGAUAACGUAGGGAAACUUACGCUAAUACCGCAUACGACCUACGGGUGAAAGCAGGGGAUCUUCGGACCUUGCGCGAUUGAAUGAGCCGAUGUCGGAUUAGCUAGUUGGCGGGGUAAAGGCCCACCAGGCGACGAUCCGUAGCUGGUCUGAGAGGAUGAUCAGCCACACUGGAACUGAGACACGGUCCAGACUCCUACGGGAGGCAGCAGUGGGGAAUAUUGGACAAUGGGCGCAAGCCUGAUCCAGCCAUACCGCGUGGGUGAAGAAGGCCUUCGGGUUGUAAAGCCCUUUUGUUGGGAAAGAAAAGCAGCAGGUUAAUACCCCGCUGUUCUGACGGUACCCAAAGAAUAAGCACCGGCUAACUUCGUG